GAGAAUAGUCAAGGGAGCACUGAGCAGGUCACCUAUCAUAGCCCAGGAGAGCAUGAAGAAUGGGUUCUGGGUAAGCUUGCUGGAGGAGGAGACCUGUAACUUGAAGGAAGAGCAGAAGUUAGCCUGGUGAAGAGAAGGGUGGACCAAACAUGUAAAUGCCCAGGGUGAGUGAAAGCACAGCAUGAGUAUGACCCCUGAAAAUAGUCUGCUAUGCUUAGAACACAGGCUGGGGAAAGGAGAAAGAGUUGAAGCUGGAGAAGAGUGCUGGGGAAAAUUCAUGAGGUCUUAGACCCUGCUGAGGAGUUUGGCCUUUCUUUUGAAUGAUCCAGGUAAGAGAGUGACACAAAUAGGCAGACUGAAAAGCAUUAAGUCUGGAGUUAAGGAGAGCUCUGUUGGGAACGUCCUCACGACAUGGCAGCUGGCUUACCCCAGAGUGAGUGAUUAGAGAGAGCAAAGAUGCAGCCACAGUAUCUUUUAUAACUUAGCCUCAGAAGGGAUGUGCCAUUAUUUCCACCAUGCUCUAUCAGUCACUCAGACCAACUCUGAUAAAAUGUGUUAGAGGACCACACAAGAUCAUGAAUAACAGGAAGCAAGGAUCACUGGGAGACAUCUCAAAGGCUGAUAAUGACAAAGAGCGAAACCAAACUGAGACCAGAGAUUCAAGUUCAACAAACUGAGGCUGGUAGAUUUUCUGGGGGACAGUACCCAAGAGAUGGAAGCUACAUAAAGAGAAAGAGAAAUCUGCAUAGUGAUCCCCUGGAGUUUCUGGCUGAAGGGCAGCCUGCCCAUGCAUAGGAACAAGCCCAACAAUUCUCAGAGCUCACACAGAGUUGGGAACUGUUUGAGUUUCCACUAGCCAGAGUGGAAAGGCCUCAGUAAAUAUACCAGGUAUUUGGAAGACAAGCAGAAAGACCACACCACAGAAGCACUGUUAAGUUUGCCCUAGACAAAAGGCUACUGCAGAACCAUCCUAAAAGAACUUAACAAGAAAACUGGAAAGCAUCAAACUGACCCACAAGGAACUUAAAUGUCUGCUAGAACAAAGUUGUUAAAGGACUACAACGUCCUCCAGCACUCAAAAAUGUGAAAUUCACAAUAUGCACCGACCAAACAAACAAAAAGCCUGCUUGGAUUUUGGCUGGGAUUAAACUGAACUUAUAGAUCAAUCUGGGAAGAACUGACAGUAUGAUGUUUGCUACAGAUUUUUCAUAGAUGCCUUUUAUCAGAGCUGCUUGAAACCACCUCUGCUUUCUAGCUGCUGGCUAGCCUGACUUCCCUCAGGAAAGACCCAUAAAAGGAAGAAUUGCCCCCAACAAAUGAGCAGAGCAUGAUCUGUUGUGUGAAAGGAAAGAGGCAUGACUUUGGAUCCUGUAGAAGCCAGUUUGCUCUACCCAGCAAAAAACUGCUCCUUAUCCUGAGACUUUAACUCUGGCAACCAAUUUUCCUAGUUAGGUUACUGGAAACAAUAAGAGGAAUUGGGCCACAAUGAAUACGAUCCAAUGAAAAUCCAGUGAAAUUCUUAAAAAACCUUGGUAGUUCUGGUAUCUCAGUAUUGACACAGAAAAGACAGGCCCUACCUAAUGAAUAUUUUAACUUUUAUCAACCUUAAAACUCUAAUUAAAAUGUUGUCCA
Molecule: long non-coding RNA, 1632 nt
Organism: Homo sapiens (human)
Lineage: Eukaryota; Metazoa; Chordata; Mammalia; Primates; Hominidae
Source: Ensembl